GAUGAAGAACGUAGCAAAAUGCGAUAAGUAAUGUGAAUUGCAGAAUUCAGUGAAUCAUCGAAUCUUUGAACGCACAUUGCGCCCGCCAGUAUUCUGGCGGGCAUGCCUGUUCGAGCGUCAUUUCAACCCUCAAGCACAGCUUGGUGUUGGGACUCGCGUUAAUUCGCGUUCCUCAAAUUGAUUGGCGGUCACGUCGAGCUUCCAUAGCGUAGUAGUAAAACCCUCGUUACUGGUAAUCGUCGCGGCCACGCCGUUAAACCCCAACUUCUGAAUGUUGACCUCGGAUUAGGUAGGAAUACCCGCUGAACUUAAGCAUAUCAAUAAGCGGAGGA
RNAcentral lists this unclassified non-coding RNA (332 nucleotides) under soil metagenome. RNAcentral's name for it is "partial contains 5.8S ribosomal RNA, internal transcribed spacer 2, and large subunit ribosomal RNA". The stretch from base 1 to 120 matches the Rfam family "5.8S ribosomal RNA", at positions 35 to 154 of the family's 154-position model. The record is from RNAcentral.